GCAGAAGGAUCAUUAGUGAAGAUUUGGGCAGGCCAUACGGACGCCACAAAGUGUCCCUGGCCGCCUACACCCACUAUACAUCCACAAACCCGUGUGCACUGUCCUUGGAAAGGGCAUUCGGAGAGAAAAAGGAAGAGAAGCGAGAACAGUGCGAUCCGUCGCGUUGGGCGUUGAUCUCUGACUUGGUCUCUCUGAGGCCCUUUCCUCGCUACAAACUCGAAUGGUUAGUAUGAACGUGGAACUUGGUUGGACCGUCACUGGCCAACAAACUAUACACAACUUUCGACAACGGAUCUCUUGGUUCUCCCA
Molecule: unclassified non-coding RNA, 309 nt
Filed under: uncultured fungus
Lineage: Eukaryota; Fungi
Description: partial contains 18S rRNA, ITS1, 5.8S rRNA
Source: RNAcentral